RNA transcript from Patiria miniata (bat star), 6087 nucleotides. It is a transcript of the gene named STAM-binding protein-like A, with no coding region annotated. NCBI's taxonomy places the organism in Eukaryota, Metazoa, Echinodermata, Asteroidea, Valvatida, Asterinidae. The transcript has 11 exons. The record is from RefSeq and is a predicted model, not a curated record.
AGCCGGCGCGUCACCAGCUAAGUGACUAAUAUGGCGGCGUCCUGUGUUUAUUUUUCAGGCUGGUCGUCAACCAACUUGAAUUUUGAAAUGAUUAAAUGAACCGCAGUGUAGCACAUAUGUUCAUGUUAGCCUGUGCACAACUUAUGCUAAUAAUUCGAAGACCGAUUUGAGCAUUUUGCAAGGUUUGUCAGCAUCAAUACGAUGGCAGUAGCAGUGUGUGAGCCCCCGUCAGACAGGGUGAGGUCUCUAGCCCAUCUAGGCUCGGCCGUGGAGGUAGAUCACAAUGUACCAGUCAUUAGGUACUUCAGAUCUGGCAAAGAAAUGAUGAGAAUGGCUGAUGUCUACUACGAGGAACAUAAUUAUGAAAAUGCCUUCAUCUUGUACUCCAAAUUCAUCACCAUUUUUGUGGAGAAGUUACCGAAGCAUCCUCAGUACAAACAGUCCAGACCAGAAGAUAUUAAAGAGACCAAAAGGAAAGUCAAGCAAGCUUUUCCAAGAGCAGAGGACACUAAAGCAAAACUUAAGCAGAAAUUUGAAAAGGAAUUUAGGAUAUGGGAGGAAAGAGAGACACAAAGACUUUUGGAAGAGGAAAAGCUGCGCAAGGAACAGGAGAAAUGGGAUGAACAGCGAAGACGGAAACAUGAAGAAGAAGAAGAGGAGAGGAGACAACUCCAAGAGGCCAAGGAGCGAUCGUUGAGGGAGGAACAACAACGAGAAUUAGAGGAACAAAGACGAGCAAUUCUUGAAGAGCAGCAACGAGCGCAACAGAGAGAGGAGGAAGAGAAACGAGCGCUGGCUGCAUCAGCAGCAGCUGCAGCAGCAGCAGCAGCAGCAGCACAAGCAGCGGGCGGGGCCAUACCCUCAGCCACGCCCCCUAGUAUACCCCCUCCUUCAUACGAUGCUGUCAAGGCUGGAGGUUAUUCAGUCUACAAACCCGCCGAGGAUUACAUAACCCCCAAACCAACUGCAAGCCCCGUCCCGCCAGCAGUUGAUCGUAGCCUCAAAGUUGACCGGUCAACCAAGCCUUCAAAUCUGCUAAGCAGCGUCCCAAGCUCCAAGAACCGUUAUGGGAUGAGAGACCUGUUUGUACCCGUGGACACGGUAGAGAGAUUCUUAUCGAUAGCAAACCUCAACACAGCAAAGAACUUGGAAACAUGCGGUAUACUGGCUGGUAAACUGUCCCAUGAUGCAUUUACCAUCACACACAUCGUCGUUCCUAAGCAAACGUCGACGUCAGAUUCCUGCACGGCUGUGAACGAAGGAGAAAUCUUUGAUGUCAUGGACAAGAAAGAUCUCAUCACGUUAGGAUGGAUUCAUACUCAUCCCACACAGACAGCGUUUAUGUCUAGUAUCGAUCUUCACACUCAUUGUCCAUAUCAAGUCAUGAUGGCUGAGGCUAUAGCAAUCGUCUGUGCACCAGCUCAUAAUCAGACGGGUUAUUUCUCCCUGACACCUGACUACGGCGUAAACUUCAUCAGUAACUGCAAGGAGGCGGGGUUCCACCCCCAUCCCUCCCAGCCCACGAUCUAUGAAGAAGGCCAACAUGUCAAGAUAGCUAGCAAUGUUUCUAUUCAGAUGAUUGACAUGCGGUAAUAGUACAGGAUCCUAAGCACAUGGUAAUCCCAACAGUUCUUGUGUUAAUGUGAAAGACGUUUUAUUAACCCUGUUUGCUGCACGUCUUGAUUUUACCAGUGCACCUCCAGUUGCCAUCCAAACCUGGCACCAAAACUAACACUGAGAUAAGCUUUUUUUUUUAGGAGGGCGCUUUUUAGGUCAAUUUGGGAAAAUAUGCACAUAAGACUUUACCCAAAUGAAAUAGCGCCCUCAUAUUGUGUCCAUCAUAGCUCGAAAAUGCUAGUGGCCAACUGAUGAUUGUUUUAGCACUACUGAUACACGUACAUGUAUCAGAAAUUCUUGAGUCUUGAUGCAAACAAUUUCCUUGCUGUGAACUUGGGCCCAAUUGCGGGAUGAAAUUGGACCAAGAGUUUAAUGCUACUUUUUGAUCAAAAAAUGAUUAUUAAAAAAGCAACUCAUUCAAAGUUUAAUCUGAAAAGCUAAUUUCAUAAGAAUUCAGCUGAAUGUUCUCAGACCACAGCUCUGUAGACUGUGUUUAUUAACAAAGAAUCAUUUGCAUGAUGUCACAACUAAUUUUACAAAACACCUUUUGUUUAAAACCAAAUCUAGAGCAGUUGCUGUUGACCUUUGACCUUUGACCUGAUGUAUAUUCUAGUUUGUAAACUAUAUGUAAGCCACAAAAACUAUACAGGAACUUGUUAACUUUUCCACAACUUACUGCAGUACUGUCACCAUAUUUUCCAUCAUAAAUGUACCUGACUUUUGGGUAAAUAGGAAACAGAAUAUUAAACUCUGAUGCUACAUAUCUUAUUUUCAGAAAAUAAAAAUUCCAAUCUCUCUCACCUGUGCAUGCAAGUGGGUGUCUUGUGGAGAAAAACAACCUUUCUCUUUCUUGAAAUCUUUGACUUUCCGGGUCGAGUUUACAACGAUUUACACAUAUCUGUAUGCAAUGAGUGUUAAGUAUUCUUCAGAUGAUGAGAUGUGCAGGCAAACAUCUCCCACCCGUGCAUGCAAGUCGGUGUCUUGAGAAAAACAACCAUUCUAUUUCUUGAAAUCUCUUACAUUACACGUGACAUAAGAUUUAUGAAUAUUUGAUGCAAUGAGUGUUGAGUAUUCUUCAGAUGAUGAGAUGAGUAGGCAAACAUCUCCCAUCCGUGCAUGCAAGUGGGUGUCUUGUUGAGAAAAAUAACCAUUCUCUUUCUUGAAAUCUUUGUUUUUCCACGUGACACAAGAUUAAUAAAUAUUUGAUGCAAUGAGUGUUAAGUAUUCUUCAGAUGAUGUGAUGUGUAGGCAAACAUCUCCCAUCUGUGCAUGCAAGUCGGUGUGUUGUUUACAAAAACAACCAUUCUCUUUCUUGAAGUCUUUGACUUUCCAUGUGACACAAGUUUACAAGGAGUUAUAAAUAUUUGAUGCAAUGAGUGUAAAGUAUUCUUCAGAUGAUGGGAUGCGUAGGCAAACAUCUCCCACCCGUGCAUGCAAGUGGGUGUCUUGUGGAGAAAAACAACCAUUCUCUUUCUUGAAAUCUCUGACUUUACACGUGACACAAGAUUUAUGAAUAUUUGAUGCAAUGAGUGUUGAGUAUUCUUCUUCUGAUGAGAUGUGUAGGCAAACAUCUCCCACCCGUGCAUGCAAGUCGGUGUCUUGUGGAGCAAAACAACCAUUCUCUUUCUUGAAAUCUCUGACUUUACACGUGACACAAGAUUUAUGAAUAUUUGAUGCAAUGAGUGUUAAGUAUUCUUCUUCUGAUGAGAUGUGUAGGCAAACAUCUCCCACCUGUGCAUGCAAGUCGGUGUCUUGAGAAAAACAACCAUUCUCUUUCUUGAAAUCUUUGACUUUCCAGGUCGAGUUUACAAAGAUUAACACACAUCUGUAUGCUAUGAGUGUUCAGUAUUCUUCAGAUGAUGAGAUGUGCAGGCAAACAUCUCCCACCCGUGCAUGCAAGUCGGUGUCUUGAGAAAAACAACCAUUCUAUUUCUUGAAAUCUCUUACAUUACCUGGACACAAGAUUUAUGAAUAUUUGAUGCAAUGAGUGUUAAGUAUUCUUCAGAUGAUAAGAUGCGUAGGCAAACAUCUCCCAUCCGUGCAUGCAAGUCAGUGUCUUGUUGAGAAAAACAACCAUUCUCUUUCUUGAAAUCUCUGACUUUACAUGUGACACAAGAUUUAUGAAUAUUUGAUGCAAUGAGUGUUAAGUAUUCUUCUUCUGAUGAGAUAUGUAGGCAAACAUCUCCAACCUGUGCAUGCAAGUCGGUGUCUUGAGAAAAACAACCAUUCUCUUUCUUGAAAUCUUUGACUUUCCGGGUCGAGUUUACAAAGAUUUACACAUAUCUGUAUGCAAUGAGUGUUAGGUAUUCUUCAGAUGAUGAGAUGUGCAGGCAAACAUCUCCCACCCGUGCAUGCAAGUCGGUGUCUUGAGAAAAACAACCAUUCUAUUUCUUGAAAUCUCUUACAUUACACGUGACACAAGAUUUAUGAAUAUUUGAUGCAAUGAGUGUUGAGUAUUCUUCUUCUGAUGAGAUGAGUAGGCAAACAUCUCCCACCCGUGCAUGCAAGUAGGUGUCUUGUUGAGAAAAACAACCAAUCUUUCUUGAAAUCUUUGACUUUCCACGUGACAUGAGUUUACAAAGAUUUAUGAAUAUUUGAUGCAAUGAGUGUUAAGUUUUCUUCAGAUGAUGAGAUGUGUAGGCAAACAUCUCCCACCCGUGCAUGCAAGUCGGUGUCUUGAGAAAAACAACCAUUCUCUUUCUUGAAAUCUUCAACUUUCCACGUGACACACAUCCACAAUGAUUUCUAAGUCAGUUUUCAGGCUGACAAAAAACCCAACAAAUUUCUUUCUUGACACCUUGCCUUUUGUAUGAGUUGACAUGGAAGUAUCAUACCUGUAUGCAAGUGAUAUGUAUUUAAGGGAUGAUGAAAUGCAUUGGCCAGCAGUGCUCAUCUGGCCAUGCAAGUGGGUAUCAAGAUAUAUCUUUUUCCUUGAUGUCUUUUUCUUCUCAUUGGAAGUUUCCCAGAGUAAGGACUAUCCUUGUUGUGGUUGUAUAACCUCAAGCACUGCAUGGAAGCUGUGAUGCCAUGGCAUACGUCCGCAUGUGUAUACAUGUAUAUGAAGCUGACAAAACAAGAACCUCUUCACCUGCCUUGCUUACUGUGAUUUUUGAGAGAGUUUGCAGUCAGUCUUGGUCUUGUCAAAUGAGGAAUAUACGUUCCCUACUAAGCACUCAACAAACAUCCUACAUAAAGAGCUGGACUCUUAUUUGAUAUAGCAAUAUGUUUUAUAUUCUGUUGAACCUGUCGCUGUGGAUGAAAUGAAGACACUCCAACAAAGUUCACUCCACAAGUUAGAUGAAGAUAAUUCUUGAAUUCUUAUCAGGUCGUGGUUUGUUGAGGUGUGUCCACUGGGCCUUGAAUAGGUAUCUUACAUCAUCGCUGAGGAUGAAGAGGAAGACUCUCCAACCGAGUUGGAUAGUCCAGAAGUGAGACGAAGAUCAUUCUUGAAUCAGCUGCUUGGGAUGAAAUUGAAGGCACUUUAGUCGAGCAGGAAAGUCCUCACAUGGUGUGAUGAUAAUGAUUCUUCUCAAAGAACAUUGGCCAGUAUUGCAUCGUUUGAUGAGCUUUUGAAUCCAUCGAUCAAGUUGAACUGGAUAGUUCUGAAGUUAUCAAUACAUCUACCACUGACAGGUUGUAGAUUUGAAUGGUUCAAUUUAUGUAGAUGCAAUAAUCCCCCAAACUCUGACCACUUCAGAGUGUAAGCCAUGCUCAUUGUACCUGGUGCAGAGUUGAUAGUAUUUAUGCAUGCAUCAAAUGCAGUAAGUUGUAAUCUCAUUCAAACAAAUUGAAAAUGAAUUCCAGCAGGACAUUUUUUCUUUCCUUUUAACACAUUUGUUAAAUAUUGAAAACAAGACACUGGUCUUGAGAGAUCAUUCCAAAAUUUUGAUAACAGACCCCAAAUAAUGAGACAUCCAUGCCAACAAUAAAAUGUGUAUAUUUUUCACAACAUAUUUACCCAUUUUUUGGAGCAUUCUGGGUCAAUGAAAAUUGUGUAAGCAAAAUCUCUGGACAUUGCUUUAAUCACUGUCGUAAUCUCUGCACCGAUUGAAGUCCAAACCUCAAGAUUUUUGUUUUGGAGAACAAGGAAACAUCUGUGUGUUUGUAUUAGGAGGCCCUGUGUGCAUACAUGGUUAAGUUUAAAAAUAAAUUGAUAUACACAUGUACAUGUAGCUGAUAAAUUUCUAUACAAGUGCCAUAAACCCAACCUAGAUGUGAACCACUUAUUUUACUUAAAACUGCUUAAAUGAACUAGGCAGUAUACGACACAGCUGUGUGCAUGAUGAAAUGGAACAUUUCAAUGAAAGUAAAGCUCUGAUUAAAGAGGCACAAAUUUAAAGGCAAUCUUAUUUUUCUUUCUUACACCACCAUAGCUAUGCUUAGUGAGCAAAAAAUAUCCCUCAUCUAAGGUCAUUGGUCAACGCAACUGAGAUACAUUUCACUAGUAAAGUUUAAUUUUAUUUGAAAAAA